This 87-nucleotide transfer RNA is filed under the name Sporormia fimetaria CBS 119925. It matches the Rfam family "tRNA". Rfam says of the family: Transfer RNA (tRNA) molecules are approximately 80 nucleotides in length. The record is from Rfam by way of RNAcentral. Lineage: Eukaryota; Fungi; Ascomycota; Dothideomycetes; Pleosporales; Sporormiaceae.
UCCUCCGUGGCGCAAUUGGCUAGCGCGUCUGACUGUUACCAUCUGGUAGUAAUCAGGAGGUUAUAAGUUCGAGCCUUAUCGGGGGAG